Molecule: ribosomal RNA, 494 nt
Filed under: Actinomyces sp. 'ARUP UnID 94'
Lineage: Bacteria; Bacillati; Actinomycetota; Actinomycetes; Actinomycetales; Actinomycetaceae
Also listed under: 1 other name
Description: bacterial SSU rRNA
Rfam family: Bacterial small subunit ribosomal RNA
Source: RNAcentral
GGACGAACGCUGGCGGCGUGCUUAACACAUGCAAGUCGAACGGUGAAGGGGCCUGCUUUUGUGGGUCCUGGAUGAGUGGCGAACGGGUGAGUAACACGUGAGUAACCUGCCCCCUUCUUCUGGAUAACCGCAUGAAAGUGUGGCUAAUACGGGAUAUUCUGGGUCUGUCGCAUGGUGGGCCUGGGAAAGGUUUUUUCCGGUGGGGGAUGGGCUCGCGGCCUAUCAGCUUGUUGGUGGGGUGAUGGCCUACCAAGGCGGUGACGGGUAGCCGGCCUGAGAGGGUGGACGGUCACACUGGGACUGAGACACGGCCCAGACUCCUACGGGAGGCAGCAGUGGGGAAUAUUGCACAAUGGGCGCAAGCCUGAUGCAGCGACGCCGCGUGAGGGAUGGAGGCCUUCGGGUUGUGAACCUCUUUCGCCAGUGAAGCAGGCCUGCUCCUUUUUUGUGGGUGGGUUGACGGUAGCUGGAUAAGAAGCGCCGGCUAACUACGU